Molecule: ribosomal RNA, 627 nt
Filed under: Triticum aestivum (bread wheat)
Lineage: Eukaryota; Viridiplantae; Streptophyta; Magnoliopsida; Poales; Poaceae
Description: partial small subunit ribosomal RNA
Source: RNAcentral
AUGGAGAAUGCAUUGCUGAAGCUUUGGUCAAUGGUUGAAGAGAGCAAGUCUGCUAGGGUGGAUGAUAAUCUUCAAAGUUCUUUAACUAUUCACCAUUUGACAGAAGAAAAUAAGAAGCUGGAUGCACAAUAUGACAAGUUAGUGAAAGAUGUGCAUCAACUUGUGGACUUUCAGCAGGAUAGGGUUGUGGAUUUCAGUUAUCUGCAGUCAGCUGUCACAUAUCAGCACCAAUACAGAGCUGAAUUGGUGGCUGGUAUGAAUGCAAAAAUGGCAAAGAAAGAUGCAGCUCUAGAGAAGCUUCAACAGAAGUUUGAAAUCUUGUGCAACCUGACAAGUGCUCAAGCAACUGCCAUCCAAAACCUCAAGUUGAAGAAUAUGAAAGAGAAGCAAUUGAGGAUUGAGGCUCAAGAGAAUUUGGAGCUGAAGAAUGCAGAGUUCACAAAGUUUGAGGAGAAGCUCACCCAAGAGAAGCUAGAGUUGAAGUUCCAGGUUGCUGAUCUGCUGAAGCUUAAGGAAAACCAUAAAGAAGAGAAGCAGAUGCAAGAGUUUAAGAUUACUGAGCUCAUGAAGGCAGAGGAGAAGCUGAAGGAGAAGAUCAAGGGGAUCCAGGCCAUCUUGGAGAACUGA